GACGAACGCUGGCGGCGUGCUUAACACAUGCAAGUCGAACGGAAAGGCCCUGCUUUUGUGGGGUGCUCGAGUGGCGAACGGGUGAGUAACACGUGAGUAACCUGCCCUUGUCUUUGUGAUAACUUCAGGAAACUGGGGCUAAUACCGGAUAGGAGCUCCUGCUGCAUGGUGGGGGUUGGAAAGUUUCGGCGGUUGGGGAUGGACUCGCGGCUUAUCAGCUUGUUGGUGGGGUAGUUGCUUACCAAGGCUUUGACGGGUAGCCGGCCUGAGAGGGUGAACGGCCACAAUGGGACUGAGAUACGGCCCAGACUCCUACGGGAGGCAGAAGUGGGGAAUAUUGCACAAUGGGCGGAAGCCUGAUGCAGCAACGCCGGGUGCGGGAUGACGGCCUUCGGGUUGUAAACCGCUUUCGCCUGUGACGAAGCGUGAGUGACGGUAAUGGGUAAAGAAGCACCGGCUAACUACGUG
This 468-nucleotide ribosomal RNA is filed under the name uncultured bacterium. RNAcentral describes it as "partial 16S ribosomal RNA". It matches the Rfam family "Bacterial small subunit ribosomal RNA", at positions 28 to 507 of the family's 1533-position model. The record is from RNAcentral.